AUUAGAUUAAAAACCAAUGCCCUUCGGGGCUCUCUGGUGAUUCAUGAUAACUUCUCGAAUCGCAUGGCCUUGCGCCGGCGAUGGUUCAUUCAAAUUUCUUCCCUAUCAACUUUCGAUGUUUGGGUACUGGCCAAACAUGGUUGCAACGGGUAACGGAGGGUUAGGGCUCGACCCCGGAGAAGGAGCCUGAGAAACGGCUACUACAUCCAAGGAAGGCAGCAGGCGCGCAAAUUACCCAAUCCCGACUCGGGGAGGUAGUGACAAUAAAUACUGAUACAGGGUUCUUUCGGAUCUUGUAAUUGGAAUGAGUACAAUUUAAAUCCCUUAACGAGGAACAAUUGGAGGGCAAGUCUGGUGCCAGCAGCCGCGGUAAUUCCAGCUCCAACAGCGUAUAUUAAAGUUGUUGUGGUUAAAAAGCUCGUAGUUGAACCUUGGGCCUGGCUGGCCGGUCCGCCUCACCGCGUGUACUGGUCCGGCCGGGCCUUUCCCUCUGUGGAACCCUAUGCCCUUCACUGGG
This 517-nucleotide ribosomal RNA is filed under the name uncultured fungus. RNAcentral describes it as "SSU rRNA". It matches the Rfam family "Eukaryotic small subunit ribosomal RNA", at positions 209 to 726 of the family's 1831-position model. The record is from RNAcentral. Lineage: Eukaryota; Fungi.